This 357-nucleotide long non-coding RNA is filed under the name Malus domestica (apple). RNAcentral's name for it is "long non-coding RNA (MDOM_LNC004822)". The record is from RNAcentral. Lineage: Eukaryota; Viridiplantae; Streptophyta; Magnoliopsida; Rosales; Rosaceae.
UGUCUUUUCCUUUGGCCUUGUUCUUACCUGCAAGACAAAGAGAAAGAGAGCAAUCAGUCAGCACUUGGAAUUAAGCUUCUAGUCAGGAACUGACUGCCUGAAACCCCUUGCCUGAUUACUUACCUAGCAUUGCUCUCGAGUACUCAUCUUCAACAUCUUAUGCUUCUAAAGAAGAUACCACAUCUGCCUGAGGAACAGAUAGGGCAAGUGAGAAGGAUACAAUGAAGCAUGUGGAGACAAGCGUAACAGAACACGUGCCGAUACAUCCACUACUUUGUGAACAGCAAAAGUAUCACAUAUCAUCAGAGUCGAACGUACUCUAGAUUUGAUGGACUUGUUUUGACCCUCAAAUUCUUG